CACGUAGGGUGCGAGCGUUGUCCGGAAUUAUGGGGCGUAAAGAGCUCGUAGGCGGUGUGUCGCGUCGGCCGUGAAAACCUGCAGCUUAACUGUGGGCGUGCGGUCGAUACGGGCAUCACUGGAGUUCGGCAGGGGAGACUGGAAUUCCUGGUGUAGCGGUGAAAUGCGCAGAUAUCAGGAGGAACACCGGUGGCGAAGGCGGGUCUCUGGGCCGAUACUGACGCUGAGGAGCGAAAGCGUGGGGAGCGAACAGG
RNAcentral lists this ribosomal RNA (254 nucleotides) under uncultured bacterium. Its description in RNAcentral is "partial 16S ribosomal RNA". It matches the Rfam family "Bacterial small subunit ribosomal RNA", at positions 524 to 776 of the family's 1533-position model. The record is from RNAcentral.